GAUGAAGAACGCAGCGAAAUGCGAUAAGUAGUGUGAAUUGCAGAAUUCAGUGAAUCAUCGAAUCUUUGAACGCACCUUGCACCCUUUGGACUGCUCCAAAGGGUAUGCUCGUUUGAGUGUCAUUGUACUCUCACACUCUCUGAUCCUUUGGAUUUGGGGAGCAGUGGACUUGGGUGCUUGCUGCUUCCUUGUGGCUCACCUGAAAUGCAUCAGUGCAUCUCUCGAUUGGACAUAGUACGGCGUGAUAAGUGUCUUCGCCGGGACCUCAUAUGAGGGUGGCCGAUCGGGAGCUCUGUGCUUUCAAACCGUCUUCGGACAACGCUGACAACUUGACCUCAAAUCGAGUAGGACUACCCGCUGAACUUAAGCAUAUCAAUAAGCGGAGGA
RNAcentral lists this unclassified non-coding RNA (387 nucleotides) under soil metagenome. RNAcentral's name for it is "partial contains 5.8S ribosomal RNA, internal transcribed spacer 2, and large subunit ribosomal RNA". The stretch from base 1 to 122 matches the Rfam family "5.8S ribosomal RNA", at positions 35 to 154 of the family's 154-position model. The record is from RNAcentral.